Molecule: ribosomal RNA, 498 nt
Filed under: uncultured bacterium
Lineage: Bacteria
Description: bacterial SSU rRNA
Rfam family: Bacterial small subunit ribosomal RNA
Source: RNAcentral
AUUGAACGCUGGCGACAGGCCUAACACAUGCAAGUCGAGCGCGAAAGUCUUCGGAUGAGUAAAGCGGCGAACGGGUGAGUAAUGCAUGGGAAUCUGCCUGGUAGUGGGGGACAACGUCUCGAAAGGGACGCUAAUACCGCAUACGCCCUACGGGGGAAAGGGGGGAUCUUCGGACCUCUCGCUAUCAGAUGAGCCCAUGUCAGAUUAGCUAGUUGGUGAGGUAAAGGCUCACCAAGGCGACGAUCUGUAACUGGUCUGAGAGGAUGAUCAGUCACACUGGAACUGAGACACGGUCCAGACUCCUACGGGAGGCAGCAGUGGGGAAUAUUGGACAAUGGGGGGCAACCCUGAUCCAGCCAUGCCGCGUGUGUGAAGAAGGCCCUAGGGUUGUAAAGCACUUUCAGUGGGGAGAAAGGUUAUUUCACCUAAUACGUGAGUAGAAUUGAUGUUACCCACAGAAGAAGCACCGGCUAACUCCGUGCCAGCAGCCGCGGUAAU